CUUCAGCGAGCCCAGCCACAACGGCCGUUCCUCCGAACGCUCCUGACCGUACGUGGCGAUCAGCGCCUGCGCCUC
Molecule: non-coding RNA, 75 nt
Organism: Streptomyces agglomeratus
Lineage: Bacteria; Bacillati; Actinomycetota; Actinomycetes; Kitasatosporales; Streptomycetaceae
Rfam family: ASpks TB sRNA
Source: Rfam